GAGGAGGAGAGAUAGCAGCACUGCAGCGAGAGCGAGCUCCCCGCCUGCUACUGCCGCCACAACCGCCGCCGCUGCAACGAGUGUUCACUCCACUUUUCCUGAGAGCCAGUUAUCUCCCUCACCCCUUCACCCCCUCCUCUGCCUCCUGUGAGUCAUGGAAGUGAUUUAGUGCAGGUGAGCGGAGCGGAGCGGCAACAAAGAGCCACACAGACCUGCUCGCACGUCUGCAUCAUGGGCAGACCAUCCCAUGUUUUGACUGAAGGAUUCGUGCCAGCCCAGGGAGGGGAGAAAAGACUCGUAAAAAUCAACAUCUGACCCGAUCACAUCAGCAGGAAGAAUGUAAAAAAAAACCAUCAGUGAUUGGAUCAGGAAACCGUUUGACAUUCAUGACUCGC
Molecule: long non-coding RNA, 395 nt
Organism: Austrofundulus limnaeus
Lineage: Eukaryota; Metazoa; Chordata; Actinopteri; Cyprinodontiformes; Rivulidae
Exons: 3
Source: RefSeq, a predicted model, not a curated record